AGUGAACGCUGGCGGUAGGCCUAACACAUGCAAGUCGAACGGCAGCACAGUAAGAGCUUGCUCUUACGGGUGGCGAGUGGCGGACGGGUGAGGAAUACAUCGGAAUCUACUUUUUCGUGGGGGAUAACGUAGGGAAACUUACGCUAAUACCGCAUACGACCUACGGGUGAAAGCAGGGGAUCUUCGGACCUUGCGCGAUUGAAUGAGCCGAUGUCGGAUUAGCUAGUUGGCGGGGUAAAGGCCCACCAAGGCGACGAUCCGUAGCUGGUCUGAGAGGAUGAUCAGCCACACUGGAACUGAGACACGGUCCAGACUCCUACGGGAGCCAGCAGUGGGGAAUAUUGGACAAUGGGCGCAAGCCUGAUCCAGCCAUACCGCGUGGGUGAAGAAGGCCUUCGGGUUGUAAAGCCCUUUUGUUGGGAAAGAAAAGCAGCAGGUUAAUACCCCGCUGUUCUGACGGUACCCAAAGAAUAAGCACCGGCUAACUUCGUG
Molecule: ribosomal RNA, 492 nt
Filed under: uncultured bacterium
Lineage: Bacteria
Description: partial 16S ribosomal RNA
Rfam family: Bacterial small subunit ribosomal RNA
Source: RNAcentral